GCCCGCGGUAGCGGGAGUGCGGAGGAGAGGGGCGCUCUCCAUGCCCCCUUCGCCCCUCCCCCCGGCAGCAGGCGGCGCCCCACUGCCCCGGCGGCGAGGCGAGGCGAGGCGCAGCCCGGCUUGGCCCGGCUGCUGCGCGGACCCUGCGCUCUCGGAGCCGCUGCCCCUGGCUCGCGGCUCGCGGCGCCCGGCGGGGUGGGGGAGGAGGCGGAGAAGCCCGCCUGGGCGCGCCCCCCGCGCGGCUCUCCCGCCGCAGAGUGAGCGGGCUGUGCGCGGCUGCAGGCGGAGGGGCGCCCGCUGCUCUGUGUGUCCCGCGUGGGACGGGUCCGGCCGGCUGCAGGAGGGGGCGAGCUCGGCCAGUCCAGGAGCGAAUGCCAGCAUGAUUGAGAUCUGACCAACUGUGUCAAUACUUGACGUGUGGAGGAAGGGCCUAACAUAGUUAACAUCUGCUGAGCUACCAUGGCAGACCCGUCUGCUUUGGUGCCCUCCUCAAUGAUGUCGCUACCACAAGUAAUUGAGGUGCUUUUAUAAUCUGCUGGACCCCAGGAUUAGUCUUGUUGCUCCUUGAUGUUUGCUGUCCUCAGUGUAAUGUCCUGGCCUAUGAAAAAUUCUUCCUGCUACUUGCUGAAUUCAACUCUGCCAUGAACCCCAUCAUCUACUCCUACCGGGACAAAGAAAUGAGUGCUACCUUCAAACAGAUCCUCUGCUGUCAGCGCAGCGAGAAUGCCAACGGCCCCACCGAAGGCUCUGACCGCUCUGCUUCAUCGCUCAAUCACACCAUCUUGGCUGGAGUACACAGUAAUGAUCAUUCUGUGGUUUAAAAAGGAACUGAAAGAUCAAAAAGAACCACAGAGAAUUUUUAUUGAUGGAUGAACAAUAACAGGCUAGAAAACCACAUAGAGAGGGCUGGGCACAACGAAAGUAACAAACUCACAAGACAUUCUUAAAUACUAAUGGACUACAGUACUCUCUUUUUUCCAGAAAACCCACCCACGCACAACCCAAGCCAUGUAUGCAGAACGGGCUGUGCAAUAGCCCUCAUCCUUUCUUCUACUUUCUGAAACUAGAAAGCAGAUUCCUUGCAAUGGAAUUCAUAAGUAGCACUAGGAAAGUCUUAUUUAGACUACACUAACUAGACUCUGUCAGAAUAUGCUUUGUCUUGGUGCCAAUUGAAAUCAACUCUGAUUAAUUAAGCGUAUACCUGCUUCACUGCAUUUACAUGUAGACACUUAGUCUUGUUUUUAAAAAAAAGAAUGCAUUUCAUUUAAUAAAUACUUAAUAUUUAUCACCAUCUGCAUGCUUGUGAUGGACAUUAACUGUGCAGGGAGAAAAAAACAUGCUGUAGUCUUUGUAUUCUUAGCGACACUGCCAUAACUACAACAAAACAAAAAUAUUUUUCUAAUACAGGUCACAGGAAAAUGAUGGAAAUUCCGACUCUUCCUACCUUCUUUACUGGUGUUAGAGCACACUUGUUCUGUGUGAUGGCGGACUGUUUUAAUUCAGAAAAAGAUGCUCAUUGUAACGUCCGCAGGAAAGUAGAAAAGCAUAGACUGUAUUACAGUGUUUGUUUAGAUUAUGAAAUAAACAGUACUCUAGUCACAAGGUACAGUAGUUAACUUUCUUCUUUGAAGUGUGGUAUUGGAAUAUGUAACAUACACAAAGGGUCCCAAGUUUAUUCAUGGUCAGCUCCUUAGAGUAGGAUAUGUCUUUAAUGCUCUGAGAGCUACAGUCGUGGGGCUAAGAUGAAGCACAAGAGUGUUUUGUAAGAUGUAUUUAUGGUAUUGGAGUGUUUUUCUCAUUCAUUGUGGAAUGCAAAGGGAUUUUUUUAAUGCAUAAUAUAGUGUACUUUGUAAACGCUUUUUUAAAACAAGAAUUUUUUUUUUUUUGCACUGAGUGAGGGACAUUUUUGAGGGUAUCUAAAAAAUUAUUUACUCUUCAUCUCAUAAACAGUAGUUACUUGGAGCUACGGUACAAUUUUAUUUUUUAAUGAGACCAAAUAUAUAAUCUGUCAAACAAUUGAAACCUCCAUUAUGGUAAGCCAGCCAAAUAGCUGGACAUCUCAUACAUGGCUACUUUUAAGAAGAGAUACCACCUGUCCAAAUAUAAACUCCUAUGAAUUAUUAAAUGCUAAUGAAAAGCCAUAGUCUGCCAUCAAAUAAAUUUUAGUGAAGAAGAGAUCUUUGUAUUAAAGAACUUGGGACCUUUGUAUGCCAAAUUACUUGUUUGUGUGAGUGCGCCCAUGUGUGCAUAACAAUGUAAUGGACCAUAACUAAAGUUCACGACAGGCUGUUUUCCAUGUUGUUAGAUGCCUAAAUAAUAACUUGCUUGAGGUUUAUCAGUCAGUGUAAUGCUCUGGAAUGUUGCGUAACAGGUGUUGGGAUACUGUCAUGAGGCUAUUGUGCAGAGGUGGAUAGAGUAUUUAGAUUUAAGAAGGAUGCCUGAAAAAGGGAAGUCAGCACCAAGGAGGCAGAGAGAGUGUAAAGUUGCCAGUGUGUGUGUGUGUGUGUGUGUGUGUGUGUGUGUGUGUGUGUGAGAAAUCAAUGGGAGUUUUGCCAUUGACUUCAGUGGAGCCAGGAUUUUCACCUGUAAUGUUUAGCAGGUGUGCAGGGGCUGUGUGAAAGUGGGGGAGAUGAGAGCGGGCAGGCGGGCUUAGAGAAGGUGUCCAGGGAUCACGUGUCAGUUAAACAAGGGAUGGAUAUUUACGCUUACUUUGUACAAAACACAUAUCGCUAUAUUCUUUACUGAGGUUGAGAACAAAUGAACUCAUGAUUUUUCACGCAUGUAACUACAAUGAGAACUAGAAGAUGGGCUGUUUGAACUUAACGGGGGGAAAAAACCCUCCACGCUAAGCCACUAAUAAAGUUUUCUCAAUGAGUGUA
Long non-coding RNA from Trachemys scripta elegans, 2879 nucleotides. RefSeq lists it as uncharacterized. The transcript has 3 exons. Lineage: Eukaryota; Metazoa; Chordata; Testudines; Emydidae. The record is from RefSeq and is a predicted model, not a curated record.